Molecule: ribosomal RNA, 253 nt
Filed under: uncultured bacterium
Lineage: Bacteria
Description: partial 16S ribosomal RNA
Rfam family: Bacterial small subunit ribosomal RNA
Source: RNAcentral
UACGGAGGGUGCAAGCGUUAUCCGGAUUUACUGGGUUUAAAGGGUGCGUAGGUGGGUUGAUAAGUCAGUGGUGAAAUCCCCGAGCUUAACUUGGGAACUGCCAUUGAUACUAUUGAUCUUGAAUACCGUGGAGGUCAGCGGAAUAUGUCAUGUAGCGGUGAAAUGCUUAGAUAUGACAUAGAACACCAAUUGCGAAGGCAGCUGGCUACGCGAAUAUUGACACUGAUGCACGAAAGCGUGGGGAUCAAACAGG